CCUACGGGAGGCAGCAGUGAGGAAUAUUGGUCAAUGGACGUAAGCCUGAACCAGCCAAGCCGCGUGCAGGAUGACGGCUCUAUGAGUUGUAAACCGCUUUUAUACGAGGAUAAAGUCCGAUACGCGUACCGCGUUGCAAGUAUCUUACGAAUAAGGAUCGGCUAACUCCGUGCCAGCAGCCGCGUUAAUCCGGAGGAUCCGAGCGUUAUCCGGAUUUAUUGGGUUUAACGGGUGCGUAGGCGGUUUGCUAAGUUAGAGGUGAAAGGGCGGGGCUCAACCACGAAACUGCCUCUAAUACUGGUGGACUAGAGAAUAGUUGCGGUAGGCGGAAUGCAUGGUGUAGCGGUGAAAUGCUUAGAUAUCAUACAGAACACCGAUGGCGAAGGCAGCUUACCAAACUAUAACUGACGCUGAGGCACGAAAGCGUGGGGAGCAAACAGGAUUAGAUACCCUAGUAGUC
This 460-nucleotide ribosomal RNA is filed under the name uncultured bacterium. RNAcentral's name for it is "partial 16S ribosomal RNA". It matches the Rfam family "Bacterial small subunit ribosomal RNA", at positions 338 to 795 of the family's 1533-position model. The record is from RNAcentral.